Lolium perenne is the source of this 2802-nucleotide long non-coding RNA. RefSeq lists it as uncharacterized. The record is from RefSeq and is a predicted model, not a curated record. NCBI's taxonomy places the organism in Eukaryota, Viridiplantae, Streptophyta, Magnoliopsida, Poales, Poaceae.
AAACUAUUUCGUUUUCCCCUCUCAUAUGGUUUAUAUAAUAAACCUCCUCUUUCUAUUCAUUUAAGAAAACCCUCUCCCCUCACCCUGGGCUGCUCUCUCUCUUUCUGGCCCAGCUCUCUCUACAUCUUCCUCUCUCCCGCAGCCCAAUCCAACACGGAGGCCCAUUUCUCUUCCCAGCCCAGCUCUGGCCCGUACCUUUUCGAUGGAGAGGGGAUCUCUCUUUGUCAUCUUCCUCCGGUGGUCACGCAAGGAACGAGACCCCCGUCGCUUUCCUCCACCACGGUGUCGUGCCCACCUCCACCUGCUCCUUCCCUUUCCCCUCCUUAAAGCCUCUCCCUGGAAACCCUAGUCCGCCUCUCCCUCCCUUGCGCCGCCAUCUUCUUCUUUCUCCCUGUUUCGUUUUCUUCAACCACCAGAGAAACCCCCACAGCAACGCACCAUGUCGCCAUGGCGCCGACGCGGUAGGCCGCCCCUCGCCAAGCUGAAGCCACCAGAAGAUGCGCCGCAUCAUCCUCUCCAUCCUCAUGCAAGGAAUCGAGCCAAGGCCCCGUAAAUCGAGCGCAAGGUCGCCGUUUCUCCUCCAUGGCUGCCAUGCUCCGGCGUCGAUUCCGGCCGCCCUCGUCCUCCUCCGGCCAAACCGAGCACACCACCGGCUUCCUCAUGUUCAUCCGCACCUCCGACGCCAUCUCGCUUCUUCUGGUUCGCCCCCAAACAUCGAAUCCUCCUCCAACUAGAGCCUUCCGCCAUGGAUGUGUAUGUCCCAGAUCUUCGCCUCGUUUUGGGCUAAAUCGUUGUGUGCCUCUUCAUAAUCAACAUCAGCUACCGCAGCCCAGUGAUCCGGCGCCUACUGGGCCUCGGCCCGUAUCCCCGCCCGCUUCUUCACCGCCUAGCGCGCGGCAGGCCGCUAUUCACCGCCGUCUCUGCGCAGCAUUUGCUUCUUCCCGGAUAGGAUCACGAAGUGGUGAUGUGAGAUACGACGAGUUCUACGACAAGUUCUUCUGCAACCUUUCACAGGCGAACCCUCUCUCUUCACCUAUUUACUCUCUCCCUCGCACUGCUAUCCUUAUGUUGCGAUUCUUUAUCGAGUCACGUGUCCUAUCCACUUGUUUACCAUAAUAAUCCUAUAUGCACCAUUCCUUAUCCAUAGCCGUUGCUUGAUGUUUGAGCCUUGCGAGUCGUAGGCGUGUUUAGGUUCUGUUGUUUAUCUCGAUCUGUUAUCGGGAUAUGUUGGGUUGUUGGGAGCUUAUCACAUGCUAUAUCAGUUGUUGGAGAUACACAUACUUUACUUAAUUGUUAACAACUAAAAUUGUAAGCAGAGGCAUCUGUGAGCCCCUUUGCGAAAGCAUCGGAACUUUGACUUGCUAAUGUCCCCUAGGACCCGAGUUCUUGUUAUCUGUUCCGAGAUUGAGCGCUCUACCCGUACGUGGGGGAAUGGGACCCCCAUCACCCACUACCUUUCCUCGAGUCUGUUUAUUGGGAGCCACAACCUUGGUUUUAUUUGCUCAUAUGCACGAUGCACGAUUUACUUCCUGUUACCUUCUGGUGUUUAUAUUAUGUACUGUACUCAUAUCGUGGAACGAUUAGCGAAAGCAGGUUGUUCACACUUAGCUUAGCCGUUGGCACAAACCUCUGGGUCCGUAUCGGAGUACGGCCGAACUUCGUCACGGGUAGCUUAGUGGGGUGGCUCCCCUUAAACUUUCUCUUGCAUUGGGAAUGGUCUUGAUGUGAGACUCCACCUGUAGUAAGUGGGUUCGAGCAUGUGUAUGGUUACAUUUGGGCAACCCCUGCAGGGUGUACAUCUUAUCGAUAAGCCGUGUCCGCGGUUAUGGACGACUUGGAAUUGUAUAGCUUGAUCAUAGAACAACUUACACCUUUAUGUUGUUAAUAAUAUUUUGCUAAUAACUUGAUUACUAAUUUAGCAUUACUACAACCGAUACCUAAUAAAACUUGUCCACCGUUGAGUGCCUUUUACAUUGCCUCUUCGCAAUUGUUGAAGGGGAUAUGUGUAAUCGGCUGGGUUAUGUUUGUGUAGUAUUUAUCUGUUACCUUGUGCGCUCUCUUAUCUUCUCUGAGUAGACGGAUGUUGUAGCGUGUCUCUAUUGGAUAGUAGCUUUGCUGCCGCUAAACUCCACAUAUAGCCGGGUGAAGUUUAUACCGCCCACCAGUGAGCAUAGCUGGUCUUGUCUCGCAAGUACGUGCCAAUGGUACUUACCCUCGCCUUCCUUUCUUUUUGUCUCCUCCCCCUUUUGUCGGCAACCGAUGGCCCGACUUUGACAGGUACGAGAUGACGACGUUAGCAAGGUUACCCUUCACGCUUGGCACAGGCGGGGUUAUGGACGCCACUGGUUACCUUCAGGACUCUUAGUCCAAUUUGUAUCUUGUCCGUACUCGGACGUAUUUGAUCUUCUGUAUGAUUUGGAUCUUUGUAUUGUAUCUUUGUAUCUUGACUCGUUAGAGUCGUUGUUGUAAUAUAUGUUUCUUGUGGGCUCUAUUGUAAUCCUGUUGUAAUGUUACCGCUCGUGUUAAUUCCUCUGGCAUCACGUGUGUGAUUCGUCGCGCACGUCGUGUCGGAGGGCGUCUCUGAAUCGAUAUCAUGCGGAUUUCGGCGGGAUCGCUGGAAUCCUCAUGGUACCGGUUCCGGGGCGUCACAAAGUAGGAUCCCUAGGCCUUGUUUCCGAAUAGAAAAGUUACACCACAGAGAAUUGCCUCCCACGCCAGUAAGCUAUUUUCUGGCACCGUUUCCAACAAGUUCUGCUACAUGUUUACUUGCUGCCAUAUUUAUUUCAGAUUGUUAUUACCUCU